Long non-coding RNA from Bactrocera oleae (olive fruit fly), 1442 nucleotides. RefSeq lists it as uncharacterized. NCBI's taxonomy places the organism in Eukaryota, Metazoa, Arthropoda, Insecta, Diptera, Tephritidae. The record is from RefSeq and is a predicted model, not a curated record.
UUGAUCGCUUUCCUUUUUGUUGGCGGCCUGGGCUGCUGCUUGUUCUAGGCGGCGGCGUUGCUCGUUUUCUUGAUCGUGAAUCUAAGAACGAUGAUUUAUUUAGCAAAUAACAAAUUAGCAAGUUAAAUGUGUAUUUUAGAUCAAUCAUUUAGGGUGUUGUGGAAUCCAAGAGAGAUUUGCUUAGUUGUCGAAAUUUCAAACCAAUUCUGAUUUUCAAUGGUGUCACAGAAUCUGAUUGGAUUUUCGUCUUUUCGAACAUACGCAAAACCGAUAUCCGAAUCAGCUGUUUACUAAUGUGAAAAAAACUUGCAACUUAAUAAAUUUGAAAAAAAUUCUAUUGAAGUUUACAGUGAGUUCCGUUAAAAUCAAAGAAAAAUAUAUUGAAGAGAUCACAGUAAUCCAUUUGAUACACCAGGGGAAUCGUAUGUGAAAUUUAGCUUGCUAUUACUUGUAUGCUUGUAACGACGCAAAACAAACAGCAGAUUUGAUGUUACCAAAUAACGAAAAAAUUAUCUGGUACUAGUACAUAUCACGUAAAUAACUACCGAAUGACGAUUAACGAUAUAACAAAGCUGGUGUGAAUACCUCUAAUGUCUUUUAGUUAUCUAUUAAUAGUCAAUACAGCAAAACAAAAAUGACUCUAAACAAAUUAAGCUCAAGGGAUUUGUGGACGACGGAAGCCAAUCUUCGACGAACUGGCCAGACUAGAUAUACAUAUUGGGCUAAAACUAACUUUCUCCAAAACGAUCCCAAAUUUAUUUAGAUAAAAACAGAGACUACAUUUCGGGAAACAAAACUAUAUCACUCUGGUACAAUGUUUACUAAUAGCAUAAGUUUGCUAAAAAAAAAAUUUACUUCAGUUUUGCUCUUAAAUAUUGUUAAAAAAGAAAUGAGAAUAGUACUAUACAUUUGAUCUAUGGCACCAUGGACCGAACAGUGUUUGUAAAGAUACUAGAGGAUGUUAUGUUACCAUUUUCCAGCUGGGAAAUGCCUAUAAAAAAAACAUUUGAGCAGAAUAACGGUCCAAAACAUGCGAACAAACUAGCUAAGAAGCGUUUUGCAUAAAAAAAACGCCCUAAUGUCCUGGCCAACGCAGGUACUGGACCUGAAUCCAAACGAAAAUGUAUAGGGAAAUAUUAAACAAGUUUUAGCAAAAGCAGAUCGAUCAAAUAGAACACAACUUUCGCUAAUGGUCAAGGAGGCAUGGCAUGGAUGUAUUAAAAAAAGCUUUACAACCAAAUAUUAGUCAAUCGAAAACAUUUAGUAUUUAAAAUUUUAGUUGUUAACUAGAUGUUUUUCUGUUUUACUUUCAACAAAAUAGGCACUAUUAUUUUCGUGAAAAGAGUAAUUUUUUAGUUUAUUUUUUUAAUAAAUCUUGGUAUAAAAAAAACAUACGUAUAUUGAAAAUAUAAAACUAUGUAUAUACGUAGAAACAGCUAAAA